Molecule: long non-coding RNA, 214 nt
Filed under: Homo sapiens (human)
Lineage: Eukaryota; Metazoa; Chordata; Mammalia; Primates; Hominidae
Description: HSALNT0206318
Source: RNAcentral
GGCAUCCUUCCUCCUUCACACUGAAAUGCUGGCCAAUUUCCCAGAUUUCCACUGACUUCACAUCGAUUUGUUGUGUCAGUAACUGUUCCUUGAUGUUAGUAAUCCCGACACUUAGUGUAGCGCAUGCUCUGAAACUGACCCUCAAAAAAUUCCUGGGUUAAAUGAAGAAUGAAUGAAUCAGGUUAAAAAUAUCAAUCCAUCUACCUUACAGACU